This 1284-nucleotide ribosomal RNA is filed under the name Arthrobacter silviterrae. RNAcentral's name for it is "bacterial SSU rRNA". It matches the Rfam family "Bacterial small subunit ribosomal RNA", at positions 220 to 1479 of the family's 1533-position model. The record is from RNAcentral. Lineage: Bacteria; Bacillati; Actinomycetota; Actinomycetes; Micrococcales; Micrococcaceae.
GAAGGAAUCUCGCGGCCCUAUUCAACUUUGUUGGGUGGGGGAAAUGGCCUUACCCAAGGGGGACGACGGGUUAGCCGGCCCUGAGAAGGGUGACCCGGCCCACACUGGGGAUUGGAGACCCCGGGCCCAGACUUCUUACGGGAAGGCAGCCAGUGGGGGAAUAUUGCACCAAUGGGCGAAAAGCCUGAUGCAGCGACGCCGCGUGAGGGAUGACGGCCUUUCGGGUUGUAAACCUUCUUUCAGUAGGGAACAAGGCCCGGGCUUUGUCUGGUUGAGGGUACUUGCAGAAGAAGCGCCGGCUAACUACGUGCCAGCAGCCGCGGUAAUACGUAGGGCGCAAGCGUUAUCCGGAAUUAUUGGGCGUAAAGAGCUCGUAGGCGGUUUGUCGCGUCUGCCGUGAAAGUCCGGGGCUCAACCCCGGAUCUGCGGUGGGUACGGGCAGACUAGAGUGAUGUAGGGGAGACUGGAAUUCCUGGUGUAGCGGUGAAAUGCGCAGAUAUCAGGAGGAACACCGAUGGCGAAGGCAGGUCUCUGGGCAUUAACUGACGCUGAGGAGCGAAAGCAUGGGGAGCGAACAGGAUUAGAUACCCUGGUAGUCCAUGCCGUAAACGUUGGGCACUAGGUGUGGGGGACAUUCCACGUUUUCCGCGCCGUAGCUAACGCAUUAAGUGCCCCGCCUGGGGAGUACGGCCGCAAGGCUAAAACUCAAAGGAAUUGACGGGGGCCCGCACAAGCGGCGGAGCAUGCGGAUUAAUUCGAUGCAACGCGAAGAACCUUACCAAGGCUUGACAUGAACUGGAAACGCCCGGAAACGGGUGCCCCGCUUGCGGCCGGUUUACAGGUGGUGCAUGGUUGUCGUCAGCUCGUGUCGUGAGAUGUUGGGUUAAGUCCCGCAACGAGCGCAACCCUCGUUCCAUGUUGCCAGCGGGUUAUGCCGGGGACUCAUGGGAGACUGCCGGGGUCAACUCGGAGGAAGGUGGGGACGACGUCAAAUCAUCAUGCCCCUUAUGUCUUGGGCUUCACGCAUGCUACAAUGGCCGGUACAAUGGGUUGCGAUACUGUGAGGUGGAGCUAAUCCCAAAAAGCCGGUCUCAGUUCGGAUUGGGGUCUGCAACUCGACCCCAUGAAGUCGGAGUCGCUAGUAAUCGCAGAUCAGCAACGCUGCGGUGAAUACGUUCCCGGGCCUUGUACACACCGCCCGUCAAGUCACGAAAGUUGGUAACACCCGAAGCCCAUGGCCCAACCCGCAAGGGAGGGAGUACGGAGAUGAACCUGUCAGUCCAA